RNAcentral lists this ribosomal RNA (459 nucleotides) under uncultured bacterium. RNAcentral's name for it is "partial 16S ribosomal RNA". It matches the Rfam family "Bacterial small subunit ribosomal RNA", at positions 338 to 795 of the family's 1533-position model. The record is from RNAcentral.
CCUACGGGCGGCUGCAGUGAGGAAUAUUGGUCAAUGGCCGGAAGCCUGAACCAGCCAAGUCGCGUGAAGGACGAAGGUGCUUAGCAUUGUAAACUUCUUUUGUCAGGGGACAAAAUCAGACACGCGUCUCUGGCUGAGGGUACCCGAAGAAAAAGCAUCGGCUAACUCCGUGCCAGCAGCCGCGGUAAUACGGAGGAUGCGAGCGUUAUCCGGAUUUAUUGGGUUUAAAGGGUGCGCAGGCGGGCGAUCAAGUCAGCGGUAAAAGGUCGGGGCUCAACCCCGGCGGGCCGUUGAAACUGGCUGUCGUGAGAUGGAGAGAGGUAUGCGGAAUGCGUAGUGUAGCGGUGAAAUGCAUAGAUAUUGCGAAGAACUCCGAUUGCGAAGGCAGCAUACCGGCGGCAAACUGACGCUGAGGCACGAAAGCGUGGGGAUCGAACAGGAUUAGAUACCCUUGUAGUC